Juglans microcarpa x Juglans regia is the source of this 723-nucleotide long non-coding RNA. RefSeq lists it as uncharacterized. The transcript is spliced from 2 exons. The record is from RefSeq and is a predicted model, not a curated record. Lineage: Eukaryota; Viridiplantae; Streptophyta; Magnoliopsida; Fagales; Juglandaceae.
AUACAAGUUGCUAGCGGCCCAGUUUCCUCAACACCCAUACCUUAUGACCAAAUUAAGAGCCAGUGUGAAGCCCUUGUAUCCGGGAAACAGCAGAAGAUGUCAGUGCUUCAUAGUUUCAAGCAUCAAAAAGAGUACAAGGCAAUAGUUCCGUCUGAUGAAAAUGAAAAGAAAUGCCACAUCUUCUCAUCUAGGACUAGGGAGUGUUCAGAUGGGGAUCUAAUGCUGAUGAAUAAGGAGCCAGUUCGAGGACAUGAUCAGCUUCUCCCCUGUUCACUGGAGUAUCAACAAAUUUCUUUCAGAUUACCGCCUUCCAGCCCCUAUGACAAAUUCUUGAAAGCAGCUGGAUGCUAACAGAAGUAAUUAGCUGUGAAUAUAUAUUAUUUUUUAUGGUUCUUUUUCUUUGUUUUCUCUUUUUCAUCCACAUACAGUUGGCUAUUUCUUCAUUAUAUGGAAUUAAUCAUAAAAUUAUUUCCAUUUUGCUUAGAUAUGUUCUCCCGAACUUGCGAAAAUGAUGAAAUGAACCAAGAAGUACUGUAAUGGAGAAACUAAGUGGCCUUUUGCACAAACAUAUUUGGAUAUUUGGCGAGAGUUGUUAAUAUUAAACUAUAUGCUUACCCCCUUCGGCCUCUAUGUAAUAGAGAGAGAUUAUAACAUGUGAGUAAUGUGCAAGACAUUUUACAAAGAAUUUCUUUUAAAGAUGUUCUUUCCCAGCACAGGCUUUUU